UCCAAGUUUUCUAUUUCCUCCCCAAAUUGAACCUGGCGGCAAGAGGAUGACUGUUGUCACAGGAAACUGUGCGUGACAUUGAAGUGUGAUUGUGUUGCUGAAUGGAAUGGGAAUGUGACUCUGAGCUCACCGUGUGCUCUGCUCAUUGGUGAAUGGAGUUAUGUUAAUGUCAUCCAAAAUGGAAGUGGUCUUCAAAGGCAGGAAAUGAGGAAAACUUAUAAUGGAAGAUGUCUUUGAAUGAAUUUAGCAUCGGUAGCCUGAUGGCAUAACACCAAGCAGAUGAGGUCCAUGAAAUGAAGAAACAGAGAAAAUGAAGGAACAGUUUUGACUGAAAGAACAACACAUUUAGUGUUGUUCCAGCUGAUGAUAAUGAAGAUCAUUCUUGUGCCUGCAGCUAGUUUUACUUGACAGAUGGACGAAUGGAGUUUCAACAAAUUAUUCAUUCAAAUUAUUGAUUCUUAUGAAGUUGGGGAAGAUCCCUCUUUGAAUUUUAGGCAUUGUCAGUGUUUGUUUGGGAGAAGCAAUCCAUAGCCCGAUGGAAAUAAAAGAAUGCACCGCUUGAGGGAUUUGUGUGUAGAUUGGCUCUCUCACCCCUACUCCUUCUCUUUAGAGAAACAAGUUAGUUUUCACUCAUUAGACACACUGGUGUGACAUUUGGAAGGUGUUAGUGAAACAG
Molecule: long non-coding RNA, 676 nt
Organism: Suricata suricatta (meerkat)
Lineage: Eukaryota; Metazoa; Chordata; Mammalia; Carnivora; Herpestidae
Exons: 3
Source: RefSeq, a predicted model, not a curated record